Molecule: small RNA, 842 nt
Filed under: Arabidopsis thaliana (thale cress)
Lineage: Eukaryota; Viridiplantae; Streptophyta; Magnoliopsida; Brassicales; Brassicaceae
Description: ATSL209030
Source: RNAcentral
AUAUCUUGAAUGUAACAAUGCAACAAUGAAUUGGAAAUGAUGCCAAAUUGAUAAGUAGGUUUUUAGGCCUACUUGUGUGCUGAAUGUGAGGUUCAGUUCAAUUCUCCUUAAACACUAAGAUGUCGAUGCAUGUAUAGGGGGUGUCAAUCCAGUCAAGAUGUGUACAGAAGCUACUAAGUCAAGCCAGAUUAUAGUGAUGGUGGGUUUCUAGUAACAAUCCUAGGUCAAGAUUCAAACAACAAAAAAAGAACUUUUAAAAGCCCUACUCGAUCAUUGGGUCGAGUAGAACCAACAGGCAGAACUAAAAUGCAAUCAACAGGGGAUACAAAUAAAAGGUAAAUAAAAGUGCAAUCAAGGGGUGAAUACAAAUAAAUCUAAGAAGAAUAGAAGUCCUAAGGAUGGAUUCAUUGAUAAGGGCAACUCUAGGGUUCAUCAGGAGGCUAACAGGUGAAAGGUAGAUACCCUAGACGAUAGAUUCAAAAACCGGGUCAAUCCACUGUCAUGACAGAGACCCUCAUAACUCUACCACUUCCUAAUCUCACCUCUCGUUGAUGAAACAUAGCAGAGAAGGGUUUAAGCAACAAUCUACCAAAGUCAAUAAGCGGACUAGCCAAUGUCUUGGUCAAGUCUACAAAUCUCUGGAAUUCGUAGAUCAGACAUCCAUUUGAACAUCUUUUGGACGCUGGACGUCUAUGAUCGAAUCUCGACAUUACCAGCGAAAAACGCAUAGGGUCCACGCGAAUCCAGAAGGGAUCUAACCUAAUCUUAACCACCUGACUAACCUAGAGAUUACCCUAAUCUAAUUCAUCCUCAAGAACCCUAAUCACUACUCAAGCAACACA